GAUGAACGCUGGCGGCGUGCCUAAUACAUGCCAGUCGAGCGAACGGACGAGAAGCUUGCUUCUCUGAUGUUAGCGGCGGACGGGUGAGUAACACGUGGAUAACCUACCUAUAAGACUGGGAUAACUUCGGGAAACCGGAGCUAAUACCGGAUAAUAUUUUGAACCGCAUGGUUCAAAAGUGAAAGACGGUCUUGCUGUCACUUAUAGAUGGAUCCGCGCUGCAUUAGCUAGUUGGUAAGGUAACGGCUUACCAAGGCAACGAUGCAUAGCCGACCUGAGAGGGUGAUCGGCCACACUGAAACUGAGACACGGUCCAGACUCCUACGGGAGGCAGCAGUAGGGAAUCUUCCGCAAUGGGCGAAAGCCUGACGGAGCAACGCCGCGUGAGUGAUGAAGGUCUUCGGAUCGUAAAACUCUGUUAUUAGGGAAGAACAUAUGUGUAAGUAACUGUGCACAUCUUGACGGUACCUAAUCAGAAAGCCACGGCUAACUACGUG
This 497-nucleotide ribosomal RNA is filed under the name uncultured bacterium. RNAcentral describes it as "partial 16S ribosomal RNA". It matches the Rfam family "Bacterial small subunit ribosomal RNA", at positions 28 to 507 of the family's 1533-position model. The record is from RNAcentral.